Molecule: long non-coding RNA, 563 nt
Filed under: Sander lucioperca (pikeperch)
Lineage: Eukaryota; Metazoa; Chordata; Actinopteri; Perciformes; Percidae
Description: lncRNA (ENSSLUG00000007715.1)
Source: RNAcentral
CUCUCCCGGAAGAUUCACUCCACCUCAGCCGUAUCAAGAUUGGAUCAGCUCAUUCUCUCCCACCUACUCACCUCCACUGCCUGCUUCGUCACCUGGAUUCUCCUGCAAUCACAUUUAAUUCUCUUGUGUCAGCCGCCCGUCUAUAUAUCAAAGCUAACCACACUUCCAAGGACAGCCUGGAGGGACAGGAGAGCAUCACCUUCGCAUUGAGCCCCACCAUACUGACCCUUGGCUGCCGUGUGGCUGCACAGUCCACUUCUCUUGGAUUCACAAGCCUUCUUGAUGGUGGACUCAAUUACUGCAACCUCUACAACCUGCUGUCAGCGAGCAGCCUACUCUCAGAACCGGGCUUCAUGGAGAUGACCAAUGAAUGGGCUUGCCUGGGCUACGGACUCGCCACCUGUAAAGCCUAACUAUUGAAAUUACUUCACCUCAUCAUUUUAUGAUUGUGUUACAUUUGAAUUAGAAACUGUUUCCCUCUUAGACCCAUGUAGGCCCAAAUCUGACUAAUACUUGGUACCCUUGCCUAUAAACUGAAAAAAAAACCACAAUAAAAAGUAGCA